CCCGCUGAACUUAAGCAUAUCAAUAAGCGGAGGAAAAGAAACUAACAAGGAUUCCCCUAGUAACUGCGAGUGAAGCGGGAAAAGCUCAAAUUUAAAAUCUGGCGGUCUCGCGGCCGUCCGAGUUGUAAUCUGGAGAAGCGUCUAUCCGCGUCGGACCGUGUACAAGUCUUCUGGAAGGGAGCGUCGUAGAGGGUGAGAAUCCCGUCUUUGACACGGACAACCGAUGCUUUUGUGAUGCGCUCUCGAAGAGUCGAGUUGUUUGGGAAUGCAGCUCAAAAUGGGUGGUAAAUUCCAUCUAAAGCUAAAUAUUGGCGAGAGACCGAUAGCGAACAAGUACCGUGAGGGAAAGAUGAAAAGCACUUUGGAAAGAGAGUUAAACGGUACGUGAAAUUGUUGAAAGGGAAACGUUUGAAGUCAGUCGCGUCGGCCGAGACUCAACCUUGCGCUCGCGCUCGGUGCACUUCUCGGUUGACGGGUCAGCAUCAAUUUCGACCGCCGGACAAAGGUUGGGGGAAUGUGGCAUCCUUCGGGAUGUGUUAUAGACCUCGAUUCGGAUACGGCGAUUGGGAUUGAGGAACUCGGCGCUUUGCGUCCAGGAUGCUGGCAUAAUGGCUUUAAGCGACCCGUCUUGAAACACGG
Molecule: ribosomal RNA, 639 nt
Filed under: uncultured fungus
Lineage: Eukaryota; Fungi
Description: eukaryotic LSU rRNA
Rfam family: Eukaryotic large subunit ribosomal RNA
Source: RNAcentral